This 1088-nucleotide ribosomal RNA is filed under the name Enterococcus durans. RNAcentral's name for it is "bacterial SSU rRNA". It matches the Rfam family "Bacterial small subunit ribosomal RNA", at positions 76 to 1144 of the family's 1533-position model. The record is from RNAcentral. Lineage: Bacteria; Bacillati; Bacillota; Bacilli; Lactobacillales; Enterococcaceae.
GAGCUUGCUCCACCGGAAAAAGAAGAGUGGCGAACGGGUGAGUAACACGUGGGUAACCUGCCCAUCAGAAGGGGAUAACACUUGGAAACAGGUGCUAAUACCGUAUAACAAUCGAAACCGCAUGGUUUUGAUUUGAAAGGCGCUUUCGGGUGUCGCUGAUGGAUGGACCCGCGGUGCAUUAGCUAGUUGGUGAGGUAACGGCUCACCAAGGCCACGAUGCAUAGCCGACCUGAGAGGGUGAUCGGCCACAUUGGGACUGAGACACGGCCCAAACUCCUACGGGAGGCAGCAGUAGGGAAUCUUCGGCAAUGGACGAAAGUCUGACCGAGCAACGCCGCGUGAGUGAAGAAGGUUUUCGGAUCGUAAAACUCUGUUGUUAGAGAAGAACAAGGAUGAGAGUAACUGUUCAUCCCUUGACGGUAUCUAACCAGAAAGCCACGGCUAACUACGUGCCAGCAGCCGCGGUAAUACGUAGGUGGCAAGCGUUGUCCGGAUUUAUUGGGCGUAAAGCGAGCGCAGGCGGUUUCUUAAGUCUGAUGUGAAAGCCCCCGGCUCAACCGGGGAGGGUCAUUGGAAACUGGGAGACUUGAGUGCAGAAGAGGAGAGUGGAAUUCCAUGUGUAGCGGUGAAAUGCGUAGAUAUAUGGAGGAACACCAGUGGCGAAGGCGGCUCUCUGGUCUGUAACUGACGCUGAGGCUCGAAAGCGUGGGGAGCAAACAGGAUUAGAUACCCUGGUAGUCCACGCCGUAAACGAUGAGUGCUAAGUGUUGGAGGGUUUCCGCCCUUCAGUGCUGCAGCUAACGCAUUAAGCACUCCGCCUGGGGAGUACGACCGCAAGGUUGAAACUCAAAGGAAUUGACGGGGGCCCGCACAAGCGGUGGAGCAUGUGGUUUAAUUCGAAGCAACGCGAAGAACCUUACCAGGUCUUGACAUCCUUUGACCACUCUAGAGAUAGAGCUUCCCCUUCGGGGGCAAAGUGACAGGUGGUGCAUGGUUGUCGUCAGCUCGUGUCGUGAGAUGUUGGGUUAAGUCCCGCAACGAGCGCAACCCUUAUUGUUAGUUGCCAUCAUUCAGUUGGGCACUCUAGC